Molecule: ribosomal RNA, 293 nt
Filed under: uncultured bacterium
Lineage: Bacteria
Description: partial 16S ribosomal RNA
Rfam family: Bacterial small subunit ribosomal RNA
Source: RNAcentral
ACCCUACGGGGGGCAGCAGUAGGGAAUCUUCCACAAUGGACGAAAGUCUGAUGGAGCAACGCCGCGUGAGUGAAGAAGGGUUUCGGCUCGUAAAGCUCUGUUGGUAGUGAAGAAAGAUAGAGGUAGUAACUGGCCUUUAUUUGACGGUAAUUACUUAGAAAGUCACGGCUAACUACGUGCCAGCAGCCGCGGUAAUACGUAGGUGGCAAGCGUUGUCCGGAUUUAUUGGGCGUAAAGCGAGUGCAGGCGGUUUAAUAAGUAUGGUGUGAAAGCCUUCGGGCCCACCCGAGAAA